ACUCAAUUCCGAAUUACACACAUUUUCAAAACACCAAUAAAAAUAGUGACCCAAAAAGAUGUUACACUCCUUAAAGAUGUAAAACCGGUAAGUGAAUAUAUGUGAAGCUGCUUCACUUGUGGAAGCAAAACACGAGUUACAGAGGGGAGACACUUGACUGCACUCUUGGAUGACCAAAGAGUAAGUUACUUCUCCAUAUAUAAACUAAUUAUUUUCUUACACAAACAGCUAUUAUUGAAAAGUCAAUAAAUUCGAUUUCACAAUAGUAAAUAAAUUAUGUUGUUUGUCUAAGACAUAUUUUGAAUCAUUGCAGGCUUAAUCUUACGCAAGGCAGUGGAUCCUACUUUUGGAACUCUGAAGACAGAUGCUUAUGUGGACCACUUAUUGUCUACAGUAUCAUUUAGUUUUCGUUUUGGACAUGUAAAAUUUCGAUCUCAACAUCCCCUAUCAUUAGAAAAAUAUGUUGGUCCAUCUAAUUAUAUAAUAAGUUUUUUAUUAAACUAACAAUAAAUUCAUCAUUAAUGUAUUUUAUUAUUUCUUUAAAUAAAAUUUACGG
RNAcentral lists this long non-coding RNA (556 nucleotides) under Brassica napus (rape). RNAcentral describes it as "long non-coding RNA (BNAP_LNC011837)". Lineage: Eukaryota; Viridiplantae; Streptophyta; Magnoliopsida; Brassicales; Brassicaceae. The record is from RNAcentral.